This 1305-nucleotide long non-coding RNA is filed under the name Helianthus annuus (common sunflower). RNAcentral's name for it is "hypothetical non coding rna". Lineage: Eukaryota; Viridiplantae; Streptophyta; Magnoliopsida; Asterales; Asteraceae. The record is from RNAcentral.
GGCUCAUUUCGCAUCGCUCCGGUACGAUGUACCAUAUAAAGUGAAAUUGCACCAAUUUUAACGCUAUUUUACCAAUUUAGUGAAAAUAACGUUAAAAGCGGCGGACAGUUAAUCAUGCAUCAUGUGGUGGCGUUGAUAGCUAAAGACAAGGGGUUACAUGCGCUAAUCGGCCUCUGUCCCGGUUGCUAAGUGUUACGUGCCUUAUGUCCAAGGCUUGAUGCAAAACUACUAUCGAGUCAGGGGUCUCACUGGAAGCGGCCUCUCUAUCCCUACGGGGUAGAGGUAAGGUUGUCUACAUCUUACCCUCAUUAGACCUUACCUUAGCUUUGCUAUUGGUGGGAUUUACCGAGUAUGAUGAUGAUGUUUUGGGGUUGAUAUACGUGCUUAAACGCUUUCACAUGAUACUAGGCAUAUAUGCGAUGUUAUAAAUUGUUUGACAAACGGGUUAUAUGCCUAUGUGUUUUUAAUGUGAUUUAGAGUUUAAUGUGAUUUGAGCCUUGUGUGCUGGUAGUCGAUGUAGCAACGAUGAGAUAAUGGUGGAACCAGUCAUUGUCUAUGGGUGAUGAUCAUUGCCUAUGGGGGUAAUGUGUUUUGAGGAGGUAGGCAUGAUGCGCCCUGAGGAUUAGGGCAAUCGUUGUCUAAUAUAUAGAUGAGUAGGAUAUUUGCACACAGUCUCAAUAGGAGUUACGGGAAGUAAAUAACGGGUUUUGAAGUUAUCUAUUGAUGUUUUAUACACGAUGAACUAUGCUUUCGAAACCAUGUUGUGUUUAAACGUUUUGAAGUCUAUAACAUGUCACUUUACUUUAUAAAGCUUGCUCAACGAGGCGUUGCUAAUAGUUUUUAGCAUGCAUAAGGUCCAAAGGAUGUGCUUUAUCUGGAUGGCGGCUACCCGGCAGAGUUGUGAAGGUUACUUGGCAGUCUUGAACAUUGGCAUUCCUGUCUAUUGAACAUUUUGCGACAUUGAAUUGAUUGUUGGAUACUUGAUGUUUUGUUCUUACAAUAAGAUUUAUUUUCCGCCGCAUUGAGUUAAAUUUUCAAGUCUUGGAAUCCAUGUGUGUUUUGGGUGGGGUCAACUAGAAUCCCCGCUUUGGAAAUUUCGUUGCCCACAUCCCUGAGUUCCUUCUUUAGUAACAAUCUGCAACCCUCCUUCUAAGUGUCGUUAGAGCAUUCACAUCCCUUCCACCAUUUCUACCUCUAUAAUUACACUAAAAAACAUUGUAUUUUCUAGUCUCCUUUUAAUUAAAUAAUAUUUUUUAUUCCUUUAUCAAUUCCUUUUCUCUCCUUCACUCGCUUAAAAAAUCAUAA